This 484-nucleotide ribosomal RNA is filed under the name uncultured bacterium. RNAcentral describes it as "partial 16S ribosomal RNA". It matches the Rfam family "Bacterial small subunit ribosomal RNA", at positions 29 to 507 of the family's 1533-position model. The record is from RNAcentral.
AUUGAACGCUGGCGGCAUGCCUUACACAUGCAAGUCGAACGGCAGCGCGGGACCAAUCCUGGCUGCGCGUGGCGCACGGGUGAGUAAUACACCGGAACGUGCCCACUCGUGGGGGAUAACGCAGCGAAAGCACUGCUGAUAACGCAUACGAUCUACGGCUGAAAGCAGGGGGUCGUAAGACAUUGCGCGAGUGGAGGGGCCGAUGGCAGAUGAGGUAGCUGGUGAGGUAAAGGCUGACGAAGCCAUGGAUCUGUAGCUGGACUGAGAGGACGACCAGCCACACGAGGAGUGAGACACGGCCCAGAGUCCUGCGGGAGGCAGCAGUGGGGAAUGUGGGACAAUGGGGGAAAGCAUGGUCCAGCCAGGCCGCGUGCAGGAUGAAGGCCUUCGGGUUGUAAUCUGCUUUUGUGCGGAACGAAACGGUCUUUUCUAAUAAAGAAGGCUAAUGACGGUACCGGAAGAAUAAGCACCGGCUAACUACGUG